RNAcentral lists this ribosomal RNA (253 nucleotides) under uncultured bacterium. RNAcentral's name for it is "partial 16S ribosomal RNA". It matches the Rfam family "Bacterial small subunit ribosomal RNA", at positions 524 to 776 of the family's 1533-position model. The record is from RNAcentral.
UACGAAGGGGGCUAGCGUUGCUCGGAAUCACUGGGCGUAAAGGGUGCGUAGGCGGGUCUUUAAGUCAGGGGUGAAAUCCUGGAGCUCAACUCCAGAACUGCCUUUGAUACUGAAGAUCUUGAGUUCGGGAGAGGUGAGUGGAACUGCGAGUGUAGAGGUGAAAUUCGUAGAUAUUCGCAAGAACACCAGUCGCGAAGGCGGCCCACUGGCCCGAUACUGACGCUGAGGCACGAAAGCGUGGGGAGCAAACAGG